GCCAGACUCCUACGGGAGGCAGCAGUGGGGAAUAUUGGACAAUGGGGGGAACCCUGAUCCAGCGACGCCGCGUGAGUGAAGAAGUAUUUCGGUAUGUAAAGCUCUAUCAGCAGGGAAGAAAGAAAUGACGGUACCUGACUAAGAAGCCCCGGCUAACUACGUGCCAGCAGCCGCGGUAAUACGUAGGGAGCAAGCGUUGUUCGGAAUGACUGGGCGUAAAGGGUGCGUAGGCGGUUGUACAAGUUAGAAGUGAAAUACCCAGGGCUUAACUCGGGUGCUGCUUCUAAAACUGUAUGACUUGAGUGCAGUAGAGGUUAGUGGAAUUCCUAGUGUAGCGGUGGAAUGCGUAGAUAUUAGGAGGAACACCAGAGGCGAAGGCGGCGAACUGGACUGCAACUGACGCUGAGGCACGAAAGUGUGGGGAGCAAACAGGAUUAGAUACCCUUGUAAGU
RNAcentral lists this ribosomal RNA (452 nucleotides) under uncultured bacterium. RNAcentral describes it as "partial 16S ribosomal RNA". It matches the Rfam family "Bacterial small subunit ribosomal RNA", at positions 330 to 794 of the family's 1533-position model. The record is from RNAcentral.